RNAcentral lists this ribosomal RNA (594 nucleotides) under uncultured beta proteobacterium. RNAcentral's name for it is "bacterial SSU rRNA". It matches the Rfam family "Bacterial small subunit ribosomal RNA", at positions 8 to 596 of the family's 1533-position model. Lineage: Bacteria; Pseudomonadati; Pseudomonadota; Betaproteobacteria. The record is from RNAcentral.
AGAGUUUGAUCCUGGCUCAGAUUGAACGCUGGCGGAAUGCUUACACAUGCAAGUCGAACGGCAGCACGGGAGCUUGCUCCUGGUGGCGAGUGGCGAACGGGUGAGUAACACGUCGGAACGUAUCCAUUAAUGGGGGAUAACGCAGCGAAAGCUGUGCUAAUACCGCAUACGCCCUGAGGGGGAAAGCAGGGGAUCUUCGGACCUUGCGUUAUUGGAGCGGCCGACGUCUGAUUAGCUAGUUGGUGGGGUAAAGGCCUACCAAGGCGACGAUCAGUAGCUGGUCUGAGAGGAUGAUCAGCCACACUGGAACUGAGACACGGUCCAGACUCCUACGGGAGGCAGCAGUGGGGAAUUUUGGACAAUGGGCGCAAGCCUGAUCCAGCCAUUCCGCGUGAGUGAAGAAGGCCUUCGGGUUGUAAAGCUCUUUCGGCAGGGAAGAAACAGUUGAGGCCAAUAUCCUUGACCAAUGACGGUACCUGAAGAAGAAGCACCGGCUAACUACGUGCCAGCAGCCGCGGUAAUACGUAGGGUGCGAGCGUCAAUCGGAAUUACUGGGCGUAAAGCGUGCGCAGGCGGUUUUUCAAGUCUGAUGUG